GACGAACGUUGGCGGCGUGCUUAAUACAUGCAAGUCAACUGAAGCAGUGGUAGCAAUAUCGCUGUGGAGGUGGCGCACGGGUGAGUAACACGUAGGUAAUCUGCCUUCAGGUCUGGCAUAACUCCGGGAAACCGGGGCUAAUAGCAGAUGAUGCAGCGGCUCGACAUCGAGACAGUUGUUAAAGCUAUGGCGCCUGAAGAUGAGCCUGCGUCUGAUUAGCUAGUUGGCGGGGUAACGGCCCACCAAGGCAACGAUCAGUAGCUGGUCUGAGAGGAUGACCAGCCACACUGGAACUGAGACACGGUCCAGACUCCUACGGGAGGCAGCAGUAAGGAAUAUUGCUCAAUGGGAGAAAUCCUGAAGCAGCAACGCCGCGUGAGGGACGAAGGGCUUUUGCUUGUAAACCUCUGUAGUGAGAGAAAAAAAUCCCAAUCUUUGGGACAUGAUGGUAUCUCAAAAGUAAGCCCCGGCUAACUACGUG
RNAcentral lists this ribosomal RNA (481 nucleotides) under uncultured bacterium. RNAcentral describes it as "partial 16S ribosomal RNA". It matches the Rfam family "Bacterial small subunit ribosomal RNA", at positions 28 to 507 of the family's 1533-position model. The record is from RNAcentral.